RNAcentral lists this ribosomal RNA (342 nucleotides) under uncultured Paenibacillus sp. RNAcentral's name for it is "bacterial SSU rRNA". It matches the Rfam family "Bacterial small subunit ribosomal RNA", at positions 1039 to 1382 of the family's 1533-position model. The record is from RNAcentral. Lineage: Bacteria; Bacillati; Bacillota; Bacilli; Caryophanales; Paenibacillaceae.
UGGUGCAUGGUUGUCGUCAGCUCGUGUCGUGAGAUGUUGGUUAGUCCCGCAACGAGCGCAGCCCUCCGACCUUAGUUGCCAGCAUUCAGUUGGGCACUCUAAGGUGACUGCCGGCUAAAAGUCGGAGGAAGGUGGGGAUGACGUCAAAUCAUCAUGCCCCUUAUGAUCUGGGCUACACACGUGCUACAAUGGUUGGUACAAGGGGAAGCAAAGCCGCGAGGCGGAGCAAAUCCGAUAAAAGCCGGUCUCAGUUCGGAUUGCAGGCUGCAAUUCGCCUGCAUGAAGUCGGAAUCGCUAGUAAUCGCAGGUCAGCAUACUGCGGUGAAUACGCUCCCGGGCCUU